This 7151-nucleotide long non-coding RNA is filed under the name Sus scrofa (pig). RNAcentral's name for it is "lncRNA (ENSSSCG00005019038.1)". The record is from RNAcentral. Lineage: Eukaryota; Metazoa; Chordata; Mammalia; Artiodactyla; Suidae.
GAGGCGGAGAGCACUACAGCGGUGACUCAGACGCAUCCAGCCCGCGCUCCAACUGUUCCGACGGCAUGAUGGAUUAUAGCGGCCCCCCGAGCGGUGCCCGGCGGCGGAACUGCUACGACGGCACCUAUUACAGCGAGGCGCCCAGCGAACCCCGGCCCGGGAAGAAUGCUGCGGUGUCGAGCCUCGNNNNNNNNNNNNNNNNNNNNNNNNNNNNNNNNNNNNNNNNNNNNNNNNNNNNNNAAGAGGCGGCCGCCGGGAGCGAGGUCGAGCGCGGCACCCCCACCCCUUCCCCGGACGCCGCCCCGCAGUGCCCCGCGAGCGCGAACCCCAACCCUAUCUACCAGGUGCUCUGAGGGGGUGGGCGGCCACAACGGAGGGCGCGCUGCUGCUUAUGGGCCGGAGGGAUGGUGCCCCUAGGGUCCCUCGCGCCCAGAAGUUUGAGCUUCAAUGCCAACUCCUCUCCUAAACAGCGCUUUAAAAGCGACCCUCCAGAAGUAGGAGUGGCGGGAGAAAUGAUUUUUGUUUCCGCCUCUCGCACCCCAGGGCAAGGACAUGGUCCUUUUUGGUUGUUGUUGUUUUCCACGCAGCACCCUUCCCUGAGACCCGCUGCGAUGGCCGUUUGAUGUUACUCGGUGGGCCAGAGCUGACCCCUGACCGCCCAGGCGGGCCCUCUCCUCGCUCCCUCCCUCAUGGUGGGGAGCGGGGCGGGGAGGGGGGGGGAACACAAGCAGAUCUAAGCCGCGCCCCUGGACGCCCGGAAGCUUAAAGGCGCCUGGCCUUUCCUUUCCUGAGUCCUCCGGGUGUCACCUCUUUACCGCUGUCAGCGGAAUACGUUCCUGUCCCAAGUGUAACAGGUGUAACGGUAACCACUCCUACCCCCUCCCCCGGUUCAGGACCACUUUUUGUAAUACUUUUGUAAUCUAUUCCUGUAAAUAAGAGUUGCUUUGCCAGAGCAGGGGCCCCUAGGGCUGUAUUUAUCUCUGAGGCAUGGUGUGCGGUGCGACAGGGACUUUGUAUGUUUAUACGGCAGGCGGGCGAGCCGCGGGCGCUCGCUCAGGUGUUCGAAAUAAAGACGCUAAUUUAUAUUGCGGUGGCUCCGGCUUUCGCUGGGGUUGGGGGCAGGUUUUUGGCUUGGAGGAAAAUCUGCAAACUGGGCCAGUUGUACCGCAGCGACCUCUGUAGGAGAAAGAAGGAUUUCCAGGAGGAAGUUUGGGGCGGGCAGAAGGGAGGGGGUGUGUAUGUUUCCGAUGGCAAGAUCCUCUGACUGUGAAGUACAUCACCCCACACAGGUCAGUGGUUCUCGUGUCAGGAUGGAUAUUUGAAUGAUCUGAGUAGUUAAAAAAAGAUCUAUGGCUGCCCCCCCCAGAGAUUCUGAUUAAAUACAUCUGCUCCAGAUAACCCUGGCCAGGGACUGAUAUUUUUCAAAAAGCUCCCCAGGUGAUUCUGAAGUGCCUAUAUGGUUGAGAAUGAUGCCUCUCCAUACACACAGAGUGAAGCCGGUGUGGUGUCCAGAAGGAUCACUGAAAAGACAGGUCCCCCAGGGCCACUCAGAACCUUCAUGGGUAUAGAGGAUGUGAUGAGGUGCUCACAGCAUUAUGAUGGAAAAUCUGAAUGAAGGUGAAGCAGCAUUGCAAGCUGUAUAGUAUUUUCAGGCUCUUGGCGAGAGGUGUAAUCCCAAGGGGACAGCCUAGAAGGCCAGACGGGCACAGAGGCCUCUACUCUAAGUAACCCAGCACUUAGAGCAUCCUGGCACUGUCAGAUCUCAUAAGACAGGUGCCCAAAGCUUGCAAGGAGAGGGGCACAGGCAAACCUGCAUCAUCACAGGUGGUAUCAGUGCUCUUAUCAAGCCGUAUAUACUCUGAGAGCAGAGGAGGGGCUGUUGAAAUAGCCAGGGUCCUGGGGAGGGCAUCAUGGAAGAGAUGCCCUUUGAACUGUGUCUUGAGAAACAAAAGAAAACAUCACAUGCACAAUGCCUACAGACCUCCCCCCCACACACACACAGGGGACACACAGACAGGGGACACCCCCCCCACACACACACACACACAUCUCUGGGAGGGCACCUCUGGAUAAAUAGCCUGGCAGAAGUUCUGCCCAAUCCCACCCCCUGAUUCACAUAUACUUGUUACUGGGACUUUACUGCCUCCUACAUCUCCCUCCUACAGACCCUUUUUUUCCUGAAAAUGAUACAGGCCCCCUUUCAAGGGCUCUUCUCAGCAAGGUGGGGCGAGCAUGGAGAGGGCCUGGGGAAGGCAGGCAAGACAUAGUGGCAGCAGGGAGAGCUGAGGAUGGGCUGUCUGCUCUCAGGGCUGCCCUGUUACUAAAGAUCUUCAGCUUUUGUAUUGGCUGCUUCCUCAGAUGUGCCUUGGGCUUCUUUACACUCCUUUGAGACCCCCUGGAGCUCAUUCAUGAAUUAAUUCAUUCAACAGACACCAGGUUCCAUGCUGGGUGAAAACAGAGACCAGUGGACACCCACGGUUUCUGCCCUUGGGGAGCACCCAGCCAUUUGGGGACUGGAUCUUUUAGCAGCUGGUUACAUCACGAUGGAUUAAGUGCUAUAAUGGGGGUGUAUGUGGCAGAGGGACACAGUAGGAACAGGAGAUAUAGGCAAGCAAGCUGCCACUGCUAAGGAUCUUAAAGGAGCUGGUCAGGAAAGAGGAGACAAGGAUGCUCCAAGCGGAGGAAGUGGCAAGGGCACAGACCCAGCGGUGACAGAAAGCAAACUGUGCCUUCAUGAAACCAAAAGUACUCACAGGGAGGGGCCAGAGGUGAGAUGGGGGAGAGGCAGAAGCAGGGCCACCAGGGACCUCAUUUGGGCUUUAUCCUGAAGGCAGUCGGGAGCCAGGGAGGAAUCCACCAGGGGAAGGUAACAGAUAAAUCUGUAUUUUAGAAAGGCCAUUCUGGGCUGGCAGCAUGGAUAGGAGGGAACAAGACCUCAGACAAGAAGCUGUGUCAAGAAGUCACCAGGGUUGCUCAGAGGAGACAUGACAUGGCCUGAACUGGGUUUGUGACAGGGGGUGGGAGAAAAAGCACAGGAGUAGAGACAGUUGUGCUAGAUAAAGUCUGGGUGUUAACAGUACAAUGGAGAAUCUUGUGUGUGUGUGUAUGUGCAUGUGUGUCUUUUCAGAGCUGCUCCAGUGACACAUGGAAGUUCCCAGGUGAGGGGUCGAAUGGGAGCUAUAGCUGCUGACCUACACCCCAGCCACAGCAAAGCCAGAUCCAAGCCAUGUCUGAGAUGACGCCACAGCUUGCUGCAACACUGGGUCCUUAACCCACUGAGCAAAGCUAGGGAUCAAACCCAAAUCCUCAUGGAUACUAGUUGGGUUCUGAACCCGCUGAGCCACAGCAGGAACUCCAACAAUGAAGAAUCUUGAGGGCAGAGUCCCUACCCUCACACAACUUAGAAUCCCCUGGGGCAAUAUCAGUAGACAGAGAAUUAAGUGAAAAAUGCCAUGCUAUAAAUGAUGAGAAAUGCUGUACAGAGAAGUAAAAGGACCAAUGAGAGGUGAUAAUGGGUUCGAGAAGGUAAUCAGGCACAGGGAGGAAGGAGGCAGGACUUUUGCCCUGAGAAAACCAAUUGCAUAUAUGAGGAAGGCCCCAGUAGCCUGUAGGAAGCUGAUGUGCAGUUAGAAAAAAAAGUGUCUUUUUGAGAGUUCCUGUCGUGGCGCAGAGGAAAUGAAUCCGACUAGGAACCAUGAGGUUGCGGGUUCGAUCCCUGGCCUUGCUCAGUGGGUUAAGGAUUUGGUGUUUUGGUGAGCUGUGGUAUAUAGGUCACAGUUGCAGCUCAGAUCUGGCGUUGCUGUGGCUCCAGCGUAGGCCGGUGCUCCGAUUAGACCCCUAGCCUGGGAACUUCCAUGUGCUGCGGGUGCAGCCCUAAAAGCACAAAAAGACCAAAAAAAAAAAAAAAAAAGAAAGAAAGAAAGAAAGAAAAGUGUCUUUUCUUACCAGAGGAUGUGGCUCUGCACCAGGGUUCAUGACUAGGCAAACAAGAAAGAGAGCCGGUUGGACAUCAGGCCCCACUCACACCCUGGUCAGGUGUGCUUGUUCAGUGAACAACCUAUAGAACUGUUCUCAGAGCCUUGUGUGCAGAAGCGCUAAGGAUGGAAGGGAAAAGGAGAGGCCGAGGAUGACUUCAGGCUCUGGUUUGCUUCAGCAUGGACAGUAGUGCCAUUAGAGAUGAAGAUCACAGGAGAGGAAGAAGCAGGCAUGGGGACAGAUUUAGUCCUGGACACUUCUGGUUGCAAGAGCCAGAAACCCAAUUCAAACUAGGUGAAACCCCACAGGGGGGUGUGUUGGAAGGACUCAGUGUGGCUCACAUAUGGAAAUAGCACUGCAAGCACCGCAGUACCCAUGGGCCUUGGGAGUCAGGACUGGAGCCCCUCCUACCCAUCCACACAGCCCCCUUCUUGCCUCUAUGCUCUCCUAGUCCGUAUUGGUUUUCUCCAGCAACUCAGGGAUUACCUCAGAUCUCACCAUUGAACUCCGCUUAGUUAAAGAUGAGAUCAGCCCAUGGAUGAUGGGACUCGAGGUCGCCUCCUGGCCUGGCCUGCACCUCAGUCCCCUGGGCAGGGUGUGCUAGAAGACACAUCUAACUGAACCCAACUCCGUUUGCAGCGUAGGUGAAAUGGCCUCUGCUCUUGGGGCCAUUUUCACCUGGGCUGGAUCUGAGGGGACACUGGGCGGUGCCCUCCCAUAGAGACACAUGCAUGUCUCUACACAUGUGUACACCACACAUGUCCCCAGAGCAUAGCACCAGGGGCUUAUGCACCUGGAAGCCAAGGAGCUUGAAGCUUCAGGUCCUCACCAUUGCAUGAGCUCCUCCUAAGGCCCUGGGAGAAGUCCUAGAAACAUCUUCAUAUGGUCUAGUUCCUUUUUAAAUUUUCCAAAGGAAAAUAUUUUAGCUAACUGGCUAUGACCAUUUUCUCUAUUCUGACUGCCCCCUUGAGUUGAGUGGCAUUUAGGGGCAUAUUGGGUUCUCUUGAAAGGUAUCUGUUUUGUUUGAGUUUAGUGGAAUAUAUUUUAAAUAAAUGAAAUAUGGAGUUCCCGUUGUGGCUCAGUGGGUUAUGAAUCUGACUAGUAUCCAUGAGAAUGAAGGUUUGAUCUUUGCCCUCGCUCUGUGGGUUAAGGAUCCCGUGUUGCCAUGAUCUGUGGUGUCGGUCACAGAUGUGGCUCAGAUCCCGAGUCGCUGUGGCUGUGGCGUAGGCCAGCAGCUGCAGCUCCACUUCGACCCCUAGCCUGGUAACUUCCAUAUGCUGCAGGUGAGGCCCUUAAAAAGCAUAAAUAAAAUCAAUCAAUCAAUUAAUUAAUUAAUAAUUAAAAUAUGUAACAGAAGCAGGAGUUCCCACCGUGCACAGUGGGUUAAGAGUCUGACCGUAGCAUCUCCAGUCUCUGCAGAGGCACGGGUUCAAUCCCUGGUCUGGCACAGUGGGUUAAAGGAUCUGGCAUUGCUGCAGCUUUGGUGCAGGUCACAACGGUGCCAUAGGUUGCAGCUACGGCUUGAAUUCAGUCCCUGGCCCAGGAACUUCCAUAUGCCAUGAGUGCUGCCAUUUAAGAAAAAAAUAACAAACAGAAUCAAUAAUAAUGAACAAUGAAAUAAAUUAUAAUGAUUCUGAUAUUGAGAAGGCAAGAGUACCCCCCAAAAUAUAUUUAGAUCAUACCCAAAAGCAGUUUAUGAAAAGAGAGAGAUAACUUUUGAAUGGGAUUAUUCAAAAGACUCUUGCAUUGUUUGAUUAUCUAAUCGACAAAUAAAGUGAAUUAUAUGAACAUAUUAGAAAAAGAUUUAAAUUUUUUCCCUGGUCUAACACAAAAUAUUGACAUCAAUGAAAACAGAAUAAAAUUCAUAAUAUGCCACCAUAAUAAGACCUUAACACCAUAAUAAGACCUUAACACCAAGGAACUUUUCUAAUGAAUCCUGCCAAUUUAAAAGCAUUUAAAAUUAAGCACAGAAAAACUCAAAAUAUCUUGAAAUGCUAUAGUCCACAGAUGAAAAAAAUUUGAUGGCGUUUUCUCCAAAGUUGACAACAAUCCUAAAAUGGAACAUUUUAGGUACAAUUUCCAAUAGAUAGUUCCAAUAGAGUGGUGAGCCUGGAAAAGGCUUCUCUAAAUUAUUCAAGACACCAAACAAGUUUUGAUCAACUCUGUUGAAGGAGAGACUGGAUUAGCUGCAUGAGAUCUCAAUUAUCAGUAGAGAAAAUAAUAGAAUCAUGUGAAGAGGCAGUUAAAGAACACAUAGCCCGAUGCGGGUAGAAAGGAGUGGGCAAGACUGAAAAAGGCAAGGAAAAGAGCCAGAGGAGAAAGACAAAAAGGACAAGGAGAUGAAGAGGAGGAUGAAGAUGAAAUGGUGAUGAUGCUAAUGAUGGGGAGGAUAAUUUAAUUCUAGCGCCGUCUUUUUCUCAUCUAUAAAACACUGAAUCAUCUGUACACAACUCACUAGUGUUAAAGAGAAAAACUGCGAAGCUGUGUAAUCCUCCUUUUUAUUCCGUACAGGGUCAUUUUUGUAUAGUUAACUUUUUUUCAGACAUUUAAUAGUGGGUUUUAUUUGAUUUUAUUUUUUAUUUAGCUUGUUGUUGGUACAUCUCAAAGGUAAAAAUGACUCCUUUAUGUUUUUCAUUUUUUAAAGUUUGAUUGAAGUAUAGUUGAUUUGCAAUGUUGUGAUCAUUUUUGCUGUAACAGUGGGUUUUAAUUCAUGUAGAACUUUGCCAGCAGCAGAGGGAAGUGAGUCCUGGAUGAUGUCCAUGGCCACGUAAUUCCUGGGAUUGAGGCCUGGCUGUGCCACUGACCAACUCUGAGACCUUGGAAUUGUGACUUACUCUUUUGGAUUUGGACUUUCUCCGUGUGUUAUGAGUUGGUGAAUUUAAAAGAUAGGUUCCAGUUCUGGGAGUUCCUGUUGUGGCACGGUGGAAACAAAUCCGACUAGGAACCAUGAGGUUUCGGGUUUGAUCCCUGGCUUCGCUCAGUGGGUUAAGGAUUUGGCGUUACCGUGAGCUGUGGUGUAGGUCGCAGACUCAGAUUUUGAGUUGCUGUGGCUGGAGGGCAGCGGAGCAGCUGCAGCUCCAAUUUGACCCCUAGCCUGGGAACCUCCAUAUACUGCAGAUAUGGCCCUAAAGACAAAGAGACAAAAAAAAAAAAAAAAAAAAAAAAAAAAAAAAAAA